AUACGUAGGAUGCGAGCGUUGUCCGGAUUUACUGGGCGUAAAGGGCGAGUAGGCGGCCUGUUAAGUCUCAUGUGGAAUCUCCCGGCUCAACUGGGAGGGGCCAUGGGAAACUGGCGGGCUUGAGGGCAGCAGAGGAAAGUGGAAUUCCCGGAGUAGCGGUGAUAUGCGUAGAUACCGGGAGGAACACCAGAGGCGAAGGCGACUUUCUGGGCUGUCUCUGACGCUGAGGCGCGAAAGCAUGGGGAGCAAACCGGAUUAGAAACCCGGGUAGUCA
This 274-nucleotide ribosomal RNA is filed under the name uncultured bacterium. RNAcentral's name for it is "partial 16S ribosomal RNA". It matches the Rfam family "Bacterial small subunit ribosomal RNA", at positions 523 to 796 of the family's 1533-position model. The record is from RNAcentral.